CCAUGGCGUCCACCACCCUCUCCUCCGCCUUCACCCUCCUCUCCCGCCCCUCCUCCUCCCCGUCCCCCUCCGCCUCGCUCCCGAGGUCCUCCGUCGCCGUCCCGCGCCGGGGCCGCCGCGCCGUCGCUGUCGCGUCCACCGCCACAGAGUCCCCCAAGGUCCUGGAGCUCGGGGACGCCAUCGCCGGGCUCACGCUCGAGGAGGCCCGCAGCCUCGUCGACCACCUCCAGGAGCGGCUCGGCGUCACCGCCGCGGCCUUCGCGCCGGCCGCCGUCGUCGCGGCGCCUGGGGCGGGCGGCGCGGGGGCUGCCGAGGAGGCGGCCCCGGUCGAGCAGACGGAGUUCGAUGUCGUCAUCGAUGAGGUGCCCAGCAGCG
RNAcentral lists this long non-coding RNA (375 nucleotides) under Setaria italica (foxtail millet). Its description in RNAcentral is "long non-coding RNA (SITA_LNC003878)". The record is from RNAcentral. Lineage: Eukaryota; Viridiplantae; Streptophyta; Magnoliopsida; Poales; Poaceae.